This 1710-nucleotide long non-coding RNA is filed under the name Homo sapiens (human). Its description in RNAcentral is "HSALNT0302123". Lineage: Eukaryota; Metazoa; Chordata; Mammalia; Primates; Hominidae. The record is from RNAcentral.
AGUGGAGAAACUCAACCGCGACACCGGCGCCCUCCUUGCCGCCCUCCCCGCCUCCAGGGCGCUCGGACACUCUUUUGCAAACCCCGGGACUUUCCCGACCUGAAAGGCAGGGCGGGAGGGGCGUCCCCCAGAACCUGGGGACAGAGGCAAAGUCCAAGAACUACAACGGCUGCUGCCGGCCGGGCCCGCUCCCUGGCCUACCUUGCACAAGAAGUCGACAUCGUAGAAGGCGGACAGAAGUGUGGUCGACAUGUUUCUGGAUCCCGCAGUGGCCGGAGCGGCAGGCCGGGAGCCAUCCCAGCAGGAUGGGCAGUCCAGGGGCCAACUGGUCCCACUGCUGGAGCAGAUCACACAGGACGGCCAGGGCCAGGGCCAGAGCGAUGGAGGCAUCCACCUGGCAGAAGGCAAACUCUGCAAAGACAGGAGAAAGUGUCACCAGAAGGAUCAGGAAGGCUUCCCUGUCCAGUGUCUCCUCUGCACAUCUGCCUGGAUUUGACUGGUUUGCCCUUUCCUUGGAAAGCAGAUCUCUUGGGCACAAGACACAUCCUAGAGCAGGGCAUCGGCAAGCUUUUCCUUAAAGGGCCAGAGAGUCAAUAUUUUAGACUUUGCAAGCCUAUACCUCCUCACCUCGGCUGAAAGCAGCCAUGGACAAUCUGUAAACAAAUGGUUGUGGCUGUGUUCCAAUAAAACUUUAUUUAUGGACACUGAAAUUUGAAUUUAAUGUGUCACAAAAUAUUAUUUUUUCCCAACCAAUUAAAAAUGUAAAAACCAUUGAUAGCUCAUGGGCUGUAAAAAGCAGGUGGUAGGCUGCAUUUGGCUCCUAUUUUGCUGCCCUCUGUCUCGGAGUUUUUUGUUUUUGGACCCUUGUUUUCCUGGGUGCUUGGAGGAAGGGCACUGAAAGAAUAGAAGGGUGCAGAAAGAGGAAGCAGGGGGCCUUGGGGAAACCAUUGCUUAUUUCAACAUUUGGCCUUAGACAAUCCUAAAUAUGGGUUUGGAGGGAGGCUCAGGGGUGUUGUCACUUCCCCUAACAACUCUGCCCCUCCCAUCCCAAACCUGGAGGGUGUCUGAAACACGGGACUGAAAGCCCACUGCACAAUGGACCUCUGUAGGCCCAUCUUGCACCAACUGACAUUGAAAGGCCUGUCUUUCAAUGAUGCAUUUCUAUUGAGCCCUGAUCACUCCCAAAUCCACAUCUCUAACUUGAGCACACAGACUUACCCUGACCAUCUGGCCCCCGAAAGACUUACUCGGCACACAGGCAGACGACCGAGAAUCUGCAACAGCAGGCUUAGUUCCCGUGGGUGUUGAACCAGGCUUACUGGGAUGGCCCCACUGAGGGCCUAGUGAGUGCCAGGCCCUGAUCAAAUGCUGUCUCCCCAGUCCUUCUAGCAUCCUAUGGGUUGGGUAUUAUGUAACCCACUUGCACACAUCAAGAAAUUACAGUUGGCAACAAGUUUCAUGGUGCAUGCAAAGCGCAGAUUUGGAGACCCAGCAUCAACAAUCCAGAGGUUUUGAUGGUGGGGUCAGCAGGGGUAGUGACCCUGCAGUAGGGCCAGGACUAUUCAGAGGUCACACAGCAGCACCUAGUUGCAUGUAAGCAGGUGAAAGUACUGAUCUCACCAUCUUGAGAGCUCCAGAUAAGUCCCCCAGGACACUUGCCCUUUAGUGUCCCCGUUCCCCAUGCUGCUUGCUCUGCAGCCUAGAACCCAG